AUGCGCAUGCAUCUUGAAGCCAUUGAUGUCGAUCUGUGGUAUGUCAUCAAGAAUGGCGUUCCCAAGACUGGUGAAGGUGUCACCCCCGCUGAUGUGAAGAAGUUCAUUCAACUGGACUCUACCGCCAAGAACAUCAUCUGUGGUCAUCUGACCAAAGGGCAGUAUGGCCAUGUGAGCGCUUUGGAAACGUCGAAGCUAGUCUGGGACUGGCUCUCCAAGGUCAAUGAAGGCGUCUCAACACAGCGUAAUCAACGAAUCAGUACUCUUCGCAACCUCUUCAACCGCUUCAAAAGACACGACAACGAGAACGUCCAGCUCACGUUUGAUCCCCUCACCGAUAUUACCAAUGAGCUCCGUGCACUCGGUGCAACUGACAUUACGAAGCAUGAAAUUGUGAAGACACUGCUGAGAUCUCUUGACAGCUCAUUUGACACCUUAGCCCUGAUGAUACAAGAACGCCCUGAUUUCAAGACACUUGAUCCGUCUGACAUACUCGAGAGGCUCAACACACAUGAGUACCAGCUAUCUGAGAAACGAGAUAUCUAUGGCCCCAACUACGGCCGAACUCGUGCCUUGAAGGCAAAGGCUGCGGCUUCCUCGUUUGGAGAAGAAUCUGACUGCAAUUCUGAUGAUCCUGAAGACAUUGGAAAGGAGCUUGCUAUGCUUGUGAAGAAGUUCCAGAGAUUCACAAGGAAGAAGAACUUCAGAAAGUCUUCACGAUCCAGCUCAAGGGACGAUGAAGCUUCUACCUAUGACAACAAGAAAAGAACCUGUCACAAGUGCAAGAAACCUGGCCACUACAUCUCUGAAUGUCCACAGUGGGACAAUGAGAAGAAGUAA
This 840-nucleotide ribosomal RNA is filed under the name Triticum aestivum (bread wheat). RNAcentral's name for it is "partial small subunit ribosomal RNA". The record is from RNAcentral. Lineage: Eukaryota; Viridiplantae; Streptophyta; Magnoliopsida; Poales; Poaceae.